AGAGUUUGAUCCUGGCUCAGGAUGAACGCUGGCGGCGUGCCUAACACAUGCAAGUCGAACGAAGCGCCUGUUGGAAGCUCUUCGGAGCGGAAGAGAGGGGACUGAGUGGCGGACGGGUGAGUAACGCGUGGGCAACCUGCCUCAUACAGGGGGAUAACAGUUAGAAAUGACUGCUAAUACCGCAUAAGCGCACGAAGACGCAUGUUUUUGUGUGAAAAGCCGAGACGGUAUGAGAUGGACCCGCGUCUGAUUAGCUUGUUGGUGGGGUAAUAGCCUACCAAGGCGACGAUCAGUAGCCGACCUGAGAGGGUGACCGGCCACAUUGGGACUGAGACACGGCCCAAACUCCUACGGGAGGCAGCAGUGGGGAAUAUUGCACAAUGGGGGAAACCCUGAUGCAGCGACGCCGCGUGAGUGAAGAAGUAUUUCGGUAUGUAAAGCUCUAUCAGCAGGGAAGAGAAUGACGGUACCUGAAUAAGAAGCCCCGGCUAACUACGUGCCAGCAGCCGCGGUAAUACGUAGGGGGCAAGCGUUAUCCGGAUUUACUGGGUGUAAAGGGAGCGUAGACGGUAUGGCAAGUCUGAAGUGAAAAUCCGAGGCUCAACCGCGGAAGUGCUUUGGAAACUGUUAAACUGGAGUGCCGGAGGGGUAAGUGGAAUUCCUGGUGUAGCGGUGAAAUGCGUAGAUAUCAGGAGGAACACCAGUGGCGAAGGCGGCUUACUGGACGGUAACUGACGUUGAGACUCGAAAGCGUGGGGAGCAAACAGGAUUAGAUACCCUGUAGUCCACGCUGUAACGAU
RNAcentral lists this ribosomal RNA (800 nucleotides) under uncultured bacterium. RNAcentral's name for it is "bacterial SSU rRNA". It matches the Rfam family "Bacterial small subunit ribosomal RNA", at positions 8 to 810 of the family's 1533-position model. The record is from RNAcentral.